RNAcentral lists this small nuclear RNA (174 nucleotides) under Suricata suricatta (meerkat). Its description in RNAcentral is "U2 spliceosomal RNA (ENSSSUG00005019486.1)". It matches the Rfam family "U2 spliceosomal RNA". From Rfam's summary of the family: U2 is a small nuclear RNA (snRNA) component of the spliceosome (involved in pre-mRNA splicing). Complementary binding between U2 snRNA (in an area lying towards the 5' end but 3' to hairpin I) and the branchpoint sequence (BPS) of the intron results the bulging out of an unpaired adenosine, on the BPS, which initiates a nucleophilic attack at the intronic 5' splice site, thus starting the first of two transesterification reactions that mediate splicing. Lineage: Eukaryota; Metazoa; Chordata; Mammalia; Carnivora; Herpestidae. The record is from Rfam by way of RNAcentral.
GUUGUUUCUCAGCCUUUUGGCUAAGAUCAAGUGUAGUAUCUGUUCUUAUCAGUAUAAAUGGAUUUAUAUCUAAAAGUAGAGAGAGUGUCAAAAUAUUCCUUAUAUCAAAAGUUCAAAAACCAUGGCAGCAGCAUCUGGUGUUUGUGGAAGAGCUCAGAUUUGAGUUCAGGUUCU